UUCCAGCUCCAAUAGCGUAUAUUAAAGUUGUUGUGGUUAAAAAGCUCGUAGUUGAAGGGUUGGUGAUGUAGGUGGGUCAUGCUUAAGGUGUGUACUCCACUCUACUCACCUUUCUUGGUAGAGUACCUGCGCUUCAUUGUGUAGGAUCAAUGCUUUGCCAUCAUUUACUGUGAAAAAAUUAGAGUGUUCAAAGCGGGCUGUUGCUCGAAUAGAUUAGCAUGGAAUAACGUGAUAGGACUCAUUCGUCUUAUUGUUGGUUGGGAUGAUGAGUAAUAAUUAAUAGGAUCGGUUGGGGGUGCUCAUAUUGUCAUGGGAGUGGUGAAAUACUUUGAUCAUGGCAAGAUGAACUGAAGCGAAGGCGUGCAUCAGGAACGAUUCCAUUGAUAAAGAGCUAAAGCAAGAGUCGCGAAAGGGAUUAGAUACCCCUGUAGUUCUUGCCGUAAACGAUACUGUCUCGGGAUUAGAUGUUGUUGUUUUUGACAUAUCUAGCACCGUAUGAGAAAUCAAAGAUUUUGAGUUCCAGGGGGAAUACGAUUGCAAAAUUGAAACUUAAAGGAAUUGACGGAAGGGCACCACCAGGAGUGGAGCCUGCGGCUUAAUUCGACUCAACGCGAGGAACAUUACCAGGUCCAGACAUAGUGAGGAUUGACAGAUUGAUGGACCUUUCUUGAUUCUAUGGGUGGUGGUGCAUGGCCGUUCUUAGUUGGUGGAGUGAUUUGUCUGGUUAAUUCCGAUAACGAACGAGACUUCCGCCUGCUAGUUAGCCGCUGGAACAAAUGCGUUACCAGUGUGUCUUCUUAGAGGGACGAUGUGUGGUUAGCACAUGGAAGUUGGAGGCAAUAACAGGUCUGUGAUGCCCUUAGAUGUUUUGGGCCGCACGCGCGCUACACUGACUGAUGCAAUGAGACUCUACCCUGCGAUCGAGAGUCGUGGGUAAUCUGUAAAGCUCAGUCGUGCUUGGGAUAGAUUAUUGCAAUUAUUAAUCUUGAAACGAGGAAUUCCUAGUAAAUGCGGGUCAUCAGCUCGCGUUGAUUACGUCCCUGCCCUU
This 1048-nucleotide ribosomal RNA is filed under the name uncultured eukaryote. Its description in RNAcentral is "SSU rRNA". It matches the Rfam family "Eukaryotic small subunit ribosomal RNA", at positions 583 to 1660 of the family's 1831-position model. The record is from RNAcentral.